This 254-nucleotide ribosomal RNA is filed under the name uncultured bacterium. RNAcentral's name for it is "partial 16S ribosomal RNA". It matches the Rfam family "Bacterial small subunit ribosomal RNA", at positions 524 to 776 of the family's 1533-position model. The record is from RNAcentral.
UACGAAGGGGGCUAGCGUUGCUCGGAAUCACUGGGCGUAAAGGGUGCGUAGGCGGGUCUUUAAGUCAGGGGUGAAAUCCUGGAGCUCAACUCCAGAACUGCCUUUGAUACUGAGGAUCUUGAGUUCGGGAGAGGUGAGUGGAACUGCGAGUGUAGAGGUGAAAUUCGUAGAUAUUCGCAAAGAACACCAGUGGCGAAGGCGGCUCACUGGCCCGAUACUGACGCUGAGGCACGAAAGCGUGGGGAGCAAACAGG